Herpailurus yagouaroundi (jaguarundi) is the source of this 593-nucleotide long non-coding RNA. RefSeq lists it as uncharacterized. The record is from RefSeq and is a predicted model, not a curated record. NCBI's taxonomy places the organism in Eukaryota, Metazoa, Chordata, Mammalia, Carnivora, Felidae. The transcript is spliced from 3 exons.
CUGAGUAGAGAGAGGCAUCCUGUUGCUCUCUGGGACUCCAUCUGUUGCCUACUCCAGCCAGUCUCCUGGAGGAAGGGUCUGGAAAAAGAUAUCAAGCGUCCUGGGGGAAGCAGGUGCAGAGGGGAAACUGCACACCACGGUGGAGGCCACCCCAGAAGAAUUAGAGUAGAGCAUCCAUUCUCUCCCACCUCCACCCCCUUCAGCCAUCUUUGAGUCUAAAGGAAAGAAUCAUUGGUUAGAGUGUUCUGGAGAGGAAUUCUGGGACUUUGGGCAGCUGAAGUUUUGUAUAAAGUGUGCAAAGAUAACUUGCCUCAUUGGGUUGCUGAGGGGACUGAGUGAGAAAAUCCACGUAAAGUCCGAGGAGUGCUUUCCCACCAGGUGCUCUUGGUACAUUGAAGGUUCUCACUGACGGCAAGGGAAAAAACAGAGGAAGAUUCAUGGGCCAGUGUCACUAGAGGAUUCACUGCCGACAGACAUGAGCUGCCUGUUCCAGUUUAGUAUCUCUGCAUCUUCCUGAAGGCUGAGUUUUACUAUUUGACUCCUAUCCCUUUAAACAACAGGCUGCGCAUAAAAUAAAAUCUACUGAAUCUCAA